UAGGGAAUCUUCCGCAAUGGACACAAGUCUGACGGAGCAACGCCGCGUGAGUGAAGAAGGAUUUCGGUUCGUAAAACUCUGUUGUUAGAGAAGAACAGCGCAUAGAGUAACUGUUAUGCGUGUGACGGUAUCUAACCAGAAAGCCACGGCUAACUACGUGCCAGCAGCCGCGGUAAUACGUAGGUGGCAAGCGUUGUCCGGAUUUAUUGGGCGUAAAGCGAGCGCAGGCGGUCAAUUAAGUCUGAUGUGAAAGCCCCCGGCUCAACCGGGGAGGGUCAUUGGAAACUGGUUGACUUGAGUGCAGAAGAGGAGAGUGGAAUUCCAUGUGUAGCGGUGAAAUGCGUAGAUAUAUGGAGGAACACCAGUGGCGAAGGCGACUCUCUGGUCUGUAACUGACGCUGAGGCUCGAAAGCGUGGGUAGCAAACAGG
Molecule: ribosomal RNA, 429 nt
Filed under: Bacteroidota bacterium
Lineage: Bacteria; Pseudomonadati; Bacteroidota
Description: Bacteroidetes bacterium partial 16S ribosomal RNA
Rfam family: Bacterial small subunit ribosomal RNA
Source: RNAcentral